GAAAGUAAGCAAGGGCAGACGGUGGAUGCCUUGGCUCUCGGAGGCGAUGAAGGACGUGAUAAGCUGCGAUAAGCUUGGGGUAGGUGCAAAUAACCUUUGAUCCCAAGAUUUCCGAAUGGGGCAACCCGGCUGGUAGAAGGCCAGUCAUUCCGUAAGGAAGGCGAACGUGGGGAACUGAAACAUCUAAGUACCCAUAGGAGAAGAAAACAAAAGUGAUUCCGCAAGUAGUGGCGAGCGAACGCGGAACAGCCCAAACCGAUGAUGUUUAGGCAUUGUCGGGGUAGUAGGACCACGUUGUGGCAAGAGAUUAAUGAAGUAGAACGUUUUGGAACAAACGGCCGUAGACGGUGAAAGCCCGGUAUACGACUCUUUAACGAAGCCUAGUGGAAUCCUGAGUAGCGCGGAGCACGAGAAAUUCUGUGUGAAUCAGCGGGGCCCAUCCCGUAAGGCUAAAUACUCCCGAGAGACCGAUAGCGAACCAGUACUGUGAAGGAAAGGUGAAAAGCACCUCGAACAGAGGAGUGAAAUAGUCCCUGAAACCGUCUGCCUACAAGCGGUCGGAGCACAUUAAAGUGUGACGGCGUGCCUUUUGCAUAAUGAACCUACGAGUUACUUUCUCCGGCAAGGUUAAGGGCUUCAGGCCCGGAGCCGAAGCGAAAGCGAGUCUUAAUAGGGCGUGAUAGUCGGAGUGAGUAGACGCGAAACCAAGUGAUCUACCCUUGGUCAGGAUGAAGGUUGGGUAACACCAACUGGAGGUCCGAAUGGGUAUACGUUGAAAAGUGUUCCAAUGAACUGAGGGUAGGGGUGAAAGGCUAAUCAAACUUGGAGAUAGCUCGUACUCCCCGAAAUGCAUUUAGGUGCAGCCUUUAUUUAGUAUAGCAUGAGGUAGAGCGACUGAUUGGAUGCGAGGGCUUCACCGCCUAUCAAGUCCAGAUAAACUCCGAAUGCGUGCUAUAUAUUGAUAAGGAGUGAGGGCGCGGGUGCUAAGGUCCGCGUCCGAGAGGAGAAGAAUCCAGACCAUCAGCUAAGGUCCCCAAAUAACAGUUAAGUUGAACUAACGAAGUCGGACUGCAGAGACAGCUAGGAUGUUGGCUUGGAAGCAGCCAUUCAUUUAAAGAGUGCGUAACAGCUCACUAGUCGAGGAGUCCGGCGUGGAUAAUACUCGGGCAUAAACUGUUUACCGAAGCUAUGGAUGUAGAAAUACAUGGUAGGGGAGCAUUCCAACGGCGUCGAAGGUGAAGGAUGACCUUUGCUGGAGCUUUUGGAAACGCAAAUGUAGGUAUAAGUAACGAUAAAGGAGGUGAGAAACCUCCUCGCCGAAAGACUAAGGUUUCCUGAUCAACGUUAAUCGGAUCAGGGUAAGUCGGGACCUAAGGUUAAGCCGAACGGCGAUACCGAUGGAAGAAUGGUUUAAUAUUCCCAUACUACUUUAUGGAGCGAUGUGGAGACGGAGAAGUGAAAGUCCUGCCAUCUGACGGAAUAGGUGGUUGAAGAGUGUAGAUGUAGAUUCCUGUAGGCAAAUCCGCAGGGAGAGUCGACCUUGACAGUAUGCCGCGUGCUUGCACAAGGCAAAAUGGACGUAAUCAGGCUCCCAAGAAAAUCCGCUAAGCAUAUUCAUAAAGUACCCGUACCGUAAACGGACACACGUAGUUGGGUUGAAAAUACUGAGGCGCUCGAGUGAUUCACGGUUAAGGAACUAGGCAAAUUGACCCUGUAACUUCGGGAUAAAGGGUCCCUACUGAGAGGUAGGGCGCAGAGAAUAGGUCCAGGCAACUGUUUAACAAAAACACAUGGCUGUGCGAAAUAGAAAUAUGAAGUAUACAGCCUGACACCUGCCCGGUGCUGGAAGGUUAAGAGGAGAGCUCAUCGCAAGAGAAGGCUUGAAUUGAAGCCCCAGUAAACGGCGGCCGUAACUAUAACGGUCCUAAGGUAGCGAAAUUCCUUGUCGGGUAAGUUCCGACCUGCACGAAUGGUGUAAUGAUCUGGACACUGUCUCAACCGUGAGCUCGGUGAAAUUGUAGUAUCGGU
Molecule: ribosomal RNA, 2028 nt
Filed under: gut metagenome
Description: bacterial LSU rRNA
Rfam family: Bacterial large subunit ribosomal RNA
Source: RNAcentral